RNAcentral lists this ribosomal RNA (313 nucleotides) under uncultured microorganism. RNAcentral describes it as "bacterial SSU rRNA". It matches the Rfam family "Archaeal small subunit ribosomal RNA", at positions 330 to 645 of the family's 1478-position model. The record is from RNAcentral.
GUGCACCAGGCGCGAAUCCUCCGCAAUACACGAAAGUGUGACGGGCCAUCCCGAGUGCCGUCCGCUGAGGACGGCUUUUCCCCAGUGUACAUAGCUGGGGGAAUAAGGAGAGGGCAAGCCUGGUGUCAGCCGCCGCGGUAACUACCAGCUCUCCGGAGUGGUGGGACGCUUAUUGGGCCUAAAGCAUCCGUAGCCGGCUAGGCAAGUCCUCCGUUAAAUCCAACGAUUCAAUCGUUGGGGCUGCGGGGGAUACUGUCCAGCUUGGGGGCGGAGAGGCCGACGGUAUUCCCGGGGUAGGGUGAAAGUCCUAUAA